This 129-nucleotide small nucleolar RNA is filed under the name Dasypus novemcinctus (nine-banded armadillo). RNAcentral's name for it is "Small nucleolar RNA SNORA31 (ENSDNOG00000045514.1)". It matches the Rfam family "Small nucleolar RNA SNORA31". From Rfam's summary of the family: ACA31 (SNORA31) belongs to the H/ACA class of snoRNAs which are thought to guide the sites of modification of uridines to pseudouridines. The record is from RNAcentral. Lineage: Eukaryota; Metazoa; Chordata; Mammalia; Cingulata; Dasypodidae.
ACGCAACUCUGACAGACCUGGAACAGUUCAUGCCUGCUGCUAAGGUUUCCACCACAGAUGCAAGAAAAAGAAGGUCCUCGCCUUUUCUGUCUGCUUGUGGCAGCCAAGACUGAAUGGGGGAAUACAGGA